GCGGGAAUUGAGCGGCUUUAUUUAUUAUAAAAAUCAAACACUUACAAUUAAUAGCUUAACUACGAACCAAGGGGUCGGGCGUUCGAAUCGCUCCGGGCGCACCA
RNAcentral lists this transfer RNA (104 nucleotides) under Methylotenera sp. RNAcentral describes it as "tRNA-OTHER". Lineage: Bacteria; Pseudomonadati; Pseudomonadota; Betaproteobacteria; Nitrosomonadales; Methylophilaceae. The record is from RNAcentral.